Ictalurus punctatus (channel catfish) is the source of this 759-nucleotide long non-coding RNA. Lineage: Eukaryota; Metazoa; Chordata; Actinopteri; Siluriformes; Ictaluridae. The record is from Ensembl.
CACACUCAGACACCACCAAUCCCUCGCCGUGAGAGGAUGUCAUAAACUAAGCCCCGCCUCCAUCUCUCCCCACUCCCCGCAGGCUUGCUAUAAAUACAAGGAUGGAUAUGAAUAUGCUGUCUUGUUCUCCAAGCUCUCUACUCUCCUUCAUUUCUCAUCCGUCGUUUCUCUUUUCUCAUUCUCACUCCUGCUAUGUGUUGAUGCCUAUGACCUUGCAUUGUGUUCAUUGACCAGCAGCAGUACACACGUAGAUAUAUGGCUUGUGGUCACACACACACACACACACACACACACACACACACACAGAGAGAGAGAGAGAGAGAGAGAGAGAGAGAGAGAGAGAGCGCCAAGGGGGUAAUUUACAGCUAUGAAUCCACUAGAUUCGACCACCCUGCAGACGAUGUGGCUUUAAAGCAGAUCCUGGGAGUUGUGACCAAAUCAAUAAUAAGGAUGGGUCACGGGGAAACCUGGAGCCUAUCCCAGGGAGCAUCGGGCACGAGGCAGGGUACACCCUGGACAGGGUGCCAAUCCAUCGCAGGGCACAAGGGAAGUAACAUUUUAUUUUUUGUAGUAGCUUAACACAGGAGUUUUAAAAAAUAAACAUCAUCAUUAAUAUUAUAAAUAUGUAUACAUUCUACAUUUCCCAGUUUUCAUUAUUCCCGUUUAAAAAAAAAUUGUUACAGAAGUACAUCUCAUGUAUACAGUAUAUGAAUAAUAACAGCAACAACACCACCACCACCACCACCACCACCAACAACA